RNAcentral lists this ribosomal RNA (851 nucleotides) under uncultured bacterium. Its description in RNAcentral is "bacterial SSU rRNA". It matches the Rfam family "Bacterial small subunit ribosomal RNA", at positions 8 to 815 of the family's 1533-position model. The record is from RNAcentral.
AGAGUUUGAUCCUGGCUCAGGAUGAACGCCCUUUGUGUGCCUAAUACAUGCAAGUCGUACGCACUGGCCCAACUGAUUGAUGGUGCUUGCACCUGAUUGACGAUGGAUCACCAGUGAGUGGCGGACGGGUGAGUAACACGUAGGUAACCUGACUCGGAGCGGGGGAUAACAUUUGGAAACAGAUGCUAAUACCGCAUAACAACAAAAGCCACAUGGCUUUUGUUUGAAAGAUGGCUUUGGCUAUCACUCUGGGAUGGACCUGCGGUGCAUUAGCUAGUUGGUAAGGUAACGGCUUACCAAGGCAAUGAUGCAUAGCCGAGUUGAGAGACUGAUCGGCCACAAUGGAACUGAGACACGGUCCAUACUCCUACGGGAGGCAGCAGUAGGGAAUCUUCCACAAUGGGCGCAAGCCUGAUGGAGCAACACCGCGUGAGUGAAGAAGGGUUUCGGCUCGUAAAGCUCUGUUGUUGGAGAAGAACGUGCGUGAGAGUAACUGUUCACGCAGUGACGGUAUCCAACCAGAAAGUCACGGCUAACUACGUGCCAGCAGCCGCGGUAAUACGUAGGUGGCAAGCGUUAUCCGGAUUUAUUGGGCGUAAAGCGAGCGCAGGCGGUUGCUUAGGUCUGAUGUGAAAGCCUUCGGCUUAACCGAAGAAGUGCAUCGGAAACCGGGCGACUUGAGUGCAGAAGAGGACAGUGGAACUCCAUGUGUAGCGGUGGAAUGCGUAGAUAUAUGGAAGAACACCAGUGGCGAAGGCGGCUGUCUGGUCUGCAACUGACGCUGAGGCUCGAAAGCAUGGGUAGCGAACAGGAUUAGAUACCCUGGUAGUCCAUGCCGUAAACGAUGAGUG